This 351-nucleotide ribosomal RNA is filed under the name uncultured bacterium. RNAcentral's name for it is "partial 16S ribosomal RNA". It matches the Rfam family "Bacterial small subunit ribosomal RNA", at positions 338 to 686 of the family's 1533-position model. The record is from RNAcentral.
CCUACGGGUGGCAGCAGUGAGGAAUAUUGGUCAAUGGACGAGAGUCUGAACCAGCCAAGUAGCGUGAAGGAUGACUGCCCUAUGGGUUGUAAACUUCUUUUAUAUGGGAAUAAAAUGUUCCACGUGUGGGAUUUUGUAUGUACCUUAUGAAUAAGGAUCGGCUAACUCCGUGCCAGCAGCCGCGGUAAUACGGAGGAUCCGAGCGUUAUCCGGAUUUAUUGGGUUUAAAGGGAGCGUAGGUGGAUUGUUAAGUCAGUUGUGAAAGUUUGCGGCUUAACCGUAAAAUUUCAGUUGAAACUGGGAGGCCUUAGGACAGUAGAGGUGGGGGGAAUUCGUGGGGGAGCGGUUAAA